CCUACGGGUGGCAGCAGUGAGGAAUAUUGGUCAAUGGCCGAGAGGCUGAACCAGCCAAGUCGCGUGAGGGAAGACGGCCCUACGGGUUGUAAACCUCUUUUGUCGGGGAGCAAAGCGAGUCACGUGUGACUCAUUGAGAGUACCCGAAGAAAAAGCAUCGGCUAACUCCGUGCCAGCAGCCGCGGUAAUACGGGGGAUGCGAGGGUUAUCCGGAUUUAUGGGGUUAAAGGGGUGCGCAGGCGGAGGUGCAAGUCAGCGGUAAAAUUGCGGGGCCAAACCCCGUACUGCCGUUGAAACUGCAUCCCUUGAGUGCGCGAGAGGUAUGCGGAAUGCGUGGUGUAGCGGUGAAAUGCAUAGAUAUCACGCAGAACUCCGAUUGCGAAGGCAGCAUACCGGCGCGCAACUGACGCUCAUGCACGAAAGCGUGGGUAUCGAACAGGAUUAGAUACCCCGGUAGUC
Molecule: ribosomal RNA, 459 nt
Filed under: uncultured bacterium
Lineage: Bacteria
Description: partial 16S ribosomal RNA
Rfam family: Bacterial small subunit ribosomal RNA
Source: RNAcentral